This 261-nucleotide long non-coding RNA is filed under the name Elaeis guineensis (African oil palm). RNAcentral describes it as "long non-coding RNA (EGUI_LNC035482)". The record is from RNAcentral. Lineage: Eukaryota; Viridiplantae; Streptophyta; Magnoliopsida; Arecales; Arecaceae.
AAUAAGUGGUAUUAGAGCACAACAUCUGAUGCCGUGGCUACCACCAAAGUGGUGAUUGUGAGUGUCAUCACAGACCUUGCAUCCGAUCAAGCACGAGAAGUGAAAGUUUGGCAUGAUGUCACUUUUGAUGUUCCUUCUACUCCCAGUUUGAUCGAAGCUCCUCCCGCUCUAACCAACACUCUUUCUACUUCGAUCGAAGUUCUUCCUGCUCUGACCACAGCCUCCUCCGCUCCAGUCUAACUCCUUCAGAUUGACUCAUCC